UUCUGCCUCUUGGUUGCAUUUUGCUCUGCAGAAUGUUGAUCGAGCUUGCCGAGCCCCUCCAAUGCUGCAGGGGCACCAUCAUUUUCUCUCUUCAUCAGAGCUCUCAAGAACAAGAGGAUAGAAGCCAUUUGCAUCAGAAGCCCUACAGUUGCAUACCCUUUCCACUAUAAAUAUAUUCCAGGAGUGCUUCACAAGUUUAUUAUUGGUAGGGUAUCAGGUAGGUGGGUGAUUCUUCCAAGACAUUUUUUGGUAACUCAUGUGGAAAUGCUUUCGGUUGCAUGCAAGAAUCCUGUUUCAUUAUUGCCGAAGUGUUUGUUGAAAACAUGGUUGGUCAUCUAACAAAGUAGGAUUUCCUCUUAACAGGUCAAUGGUUGUUGAUCCACUAAUUUAGGCAUGUUUGUUUUGGUUGCCAUAUGCUUUCCUGAUUGCCUGAAUAUAAUUCCAUUUAUAUAGCACUCUUGCUCGAGGAUGUUUUAUUAUUUUCUUUGUGUUAUUUCAGCUUAUAAAUUCCGAGAUUGAUCAGGCUUUUAUCCUGCAUGCAUAUUCAGGAUGUUUCAUUUGUCAGCAUAUUCAGUACAUGUUGCCUACUACAUUUUCAUUAUUUUUCUUUUUCAUAUUUCAUUACAUUACAUCAAUGCAACUCCUCAAUGGUUGCUUCAUUUUGACUCCUUUACCAGACAUAUACCUUGUCCAUCUUGGACAUCCAGACAUUCUUCUGUUCAACAAUUAUGACCGCACGCCACACUAUAUUUCUGGUUAUACUACUUCCUUAUCAUAUUUUCCUUUAAAAUAUUGGAAGAG
This 801-nucleotide long non-coding RNA is filed under the name Phoenix dactylifera (date palm). RNAcentral's name for it is "long non-coding RNA (PDAC_LNC017907)". Lineage: Eukaryota; Viridiplantae; Streptophyta; Magnoliopsida; Arecales; Arecaceae. The record is from RNAcentral.